This 489-nucleotide ribosomal RNA is filed under the name uncultured Eubacteriales bacterium. RNAcentral's name for it is "bacterial SSU rRNA". It matches the Rfam family "Bacterial small subunit ribosomal RNA", at positions 32 to 523 of the family's 1533-position model. Lineage: Bacteria; Bacillati; Bacillota; Clostridia; Eubacteriales. The record is from RNAcentral.
AACGCUGGCGGCGUGCGUAACACAUGCAAGUCGAACGAGAAUGUACCGACAGAUCCUUAGGGUGAAGAUAGUACAGGACAGUGGCGGAUGGGUGAGUAACGCGUAAGAAACCUGCCUUUCACACCGGGAUAGCAGCUGGAAACGGCUAUUAAUACCGGAUGACACUUUUUCCCCGCAUGAGGAAGAGGUUAAAGAAUUUCGGUGAAAGAUGGUCUUGCGUCUGAUUAGCUAGUUGGUGGGGUAACGGCCUACCAAGGCGACGAUCAGUAGCCGGCCUGAGAGGGUGUACGGCCACAUUGGGACUGAGACACGGCCCAAACUCCUACGGGAGGCAGCAGUGGGGAAUUUUGCACAAUGGAGGAAACUCUGAUGCAGCGACGCCGCGUGAACGAAGAAGGUCUUCGGAUUGUAAAGUUCUGUCCUGGGUGAAGAUAAUGACGGUAACUCAGGAGGAAGCCCCGGCUAACUACGUGCCAGCAGCCGCGGUAA